CCUACGGGUGGCAGCAGUGAGGAAUAUUGGUCAAUGGGCGAGAGCCUGAACCAGCCAAGUCGCGUGAAGGAUGACGGCCCUACGGGUUGUAAACUUCUUUUGUCAGGGAGCAAUUGGGUCCACGCGUGGGCUUAGCGAGAGUACCUGAAGAAACAGCCUCGGCUAACUCCGUGCAAGCAGCCGCGGUAAUACGGAGGAUGCGAGCGUUAUCCGGAUUUAUUGGGUUUAAAGGGUGCGUAGGCGGAAUAUCAAGUCCGCGGGAAAAAUUCGGGGCUCAACCCCGUCGUGCCGUUGAAACUGAUGUUCUAGAGUGGGCGAGAAGUAUGCGGAAUGCGUGGUGUAGCGGUGAAAUGCAUAGAUAUCACGCAGAACUCCGAUUGCGAAGGCAGCAUACCGGCGCCCAACUGACGCUGAAGCACGAAAGCGUGGGUAUCGAACAGGAUUAGAUACCCCAGUAGUC
RNAcentral lists this ribosomal RNA (460 nucleotides) under uncultured bacterium. RNAcentral's name for it is "partial 16S ribosomal RNA". It matches the Rfam family "Bacterial small subunit ribosomal RNA", at positions 338 to 795 of the family's 1533-position model. The record is from RNAcentral.